UGAACGCUGGCGGCAUGCCUUACACAUGCAAGUCGAACGGCAGCACGGGUGCUUGCACCUGGUGGCGAGUGGCGAACGGGUGAGUAAUACAUCGGAACAUGUCCUGUAGUGGGGGAUAGCCCGGCGAAAGCCGGAUUAAUACCGCAUACGAUCUACGGAUGAAAGCGGGGGACCUUCGGGCCUCGCGCUAUAGGGUUGGCCGAUGGCUGAUUAGCUAGUUGGUGGGGUAAAGGCCUACCAAGGCGACGAUCAGUAGCUGGUCUGAGAGGACGACCAGCCACACUGGGACUGAGACACGGCCCAGACUCCUACGGGAGGCAGCAGUGGGGAAUUUUGGACAAUGGGCGAAAGCCUGAUCCAGCAAUGCCGCGUGUGUGAAGAAGGCCUUCGGGUUGUAAAGCACUUUUGUCCGGAAAGAAAUCCUUGGCUCUAAUACAGUCGGGGGAUGACGGUACCGGAAGAAUAAGCACCGGCUAACUACGUG
RNAcentral lists this ribosomal RNA (484 nucleotides) under uncultured bacterium. RNAcentral's name for it is "partial 16S ribosomal RNA". It matches the Rfam family "Bacterial small subunit ribosomal RNA", at positions 30 to 507 of the family's 1533-position model. The record is from RNAcentral.